This is a long non-coding RNA of Eriocheir sinensis (Chinese mitten crab), 1219 nucleotides long. RefSeq lists it as uncharacterized. The transcript is spliced from 3 exons. The record is from RefSeq and is a predicted model, not a curated record. Lineage: Eukaryota; Metazoa; Arthropoda; Malacostraca; Decapoda; Varunidae.
UUUACUCCGUCACUCGUCAAUACCGUUAUCUCCCCUCCUGCGUCACGACUUGCUCUGCUGAAAUUACCGCACCAUAACCACGUCAUCUGCCCCAAUGAGCACAUCUACGGGCCGGAGAACCAGCGCAGAAAAGGAGGAAGUUUAAUUGGUCGCCCGAUGAAACGGUCUUCUUACAUCAAAUUCAUGAAAAAAUACGUAUAAUCAGAGGGUGUUAUGGGAAGAGUAUCACCCCUGAGGAUAAGAAGAGAGCGUGGACUGCAGUGGCAGAAGCUGUAACAAGUGCCUUCCCUGGGAGUGGACCCCGUACGCAGGAUGACUGUGAGAGGCGUUGGUACAACGUACAACAAAAAUCAAAGCCUUGCAUUGCCAAGUGCAAGAAUGAGCAGCGGCACUGAUACACACUUUAUCAGUAUUGCUAGAGACCAUCCCAGCACAUUGUUCAUUACUUGUGGACAAGAUACCAUUAGCUGCUCCGGCAACAGCCACUGCUUCAAUAUCUGCUGGCCCUAUGACACCAGCCACUGCUUCAUCAUCUGCUGGCCCUAUGACACCAGCCACUGCAAGGGAUGACAAUGAAGCUGCUCCACCAGUCACCACCUACUUCAUCGGAGUUAAGAGAUGCCUUUCAUAGGGCAGCAGUAUAAUUUUUUGAUGCUGGGCUGAAUAUUACUGCCUCAAGGCUAUGAUUUUGUCACUUUUUUUUAUUACUGAGGAGGUUAGGGUGGAAGGGGUGAAAAAUAAUCUCUGCUGUUUUUCGACAGAAAUGGUUAGCAAAUACAUUCAAAGCACAAAAUUUACCAGAAAAAAACUGUGUGCCAUUGUGAGUGGGUUCACUUGAGAUUGGGCUCCAAUACGCCUCCGUGGUCUAGUGGUCAGCAUGCCUGGCUUCUACGCGGGCCCGGGUUCGAAUCCCGGCCCGGGCAGUCGGCGUGCAGCUCACCCAGCUGAUCAUCCUCCCUCUCGGGCUGGUCGAUAAAUGACUACCUGGGGAAACUGUGGUAACCCGGAUGUCACACUGGCCCUGUGUCCCGGGGUAAUGGGCUCCCUCCCACCACAGGCUCAAGGGCCAAUGUUACGGAGAUGAGCAUUAGCUUAUAACACCUUUAGGCACCGAUCAUAUUUGCAUUUUAUGUAGUCUGUGAUGCAGGCAGGAUAUUCAUUAGCACCUAAUUAGACUCAUGCUGCUCUCCAGUGCUCUCUGAUGAACUCACAAUCAAAG